This is a non-coding RNA of Sturnus vulgaris (Common starling), 2194 nucleotides long. The record is from RefSeq and is a predicted model, not a curated record. NCBI's taxonomy places the organism in Eukaryota, Metazoa, Chordata, Aves, Passeriformes, Sturnidae.
ACCCACCGGCCUCUGCACCUCCGGCCCCAUCUGAGCCCAGCCACAAGGAGAAGCUGUGUGGCUGGAGGCACCCCAGGAGCGAUGCUUGCUCCAAAGGCUGGGGUGCUCCUGGCAGAGGGCGUUCUCAGUCUGUCAGCCGGCUGAGCACCCCCCCAGACAGGAUUCGCAUGCCUUCCAGCCUCGGCACAGAAAGGUGGAAGAACCAGAGCACUCCAACCACCCCUGCUACCCACCAGGGCCCUCUGGUGAGGGGUCGGUCCAACAGCGUGUCCGGAUCUCCUGUGCUCCACAAUGCCAAGGCAGCAGGUGGCUGCAAAGCCAGACCCCCCUGGAAGUGAUGCCAAGUGUCCUUCUGGAUGUACAUACAGCCUUAGUCUACCUGAGGCCUCCCUGUGACCAAGCCCACAAGGACCCUGGGCUUUUCCAUGGCUGGAAGCAAAGGAUGGGGCUGUUCCAUGCUGGAAGACAAGCCAGGAGCCAAAGGUGACCACAGUGCUGGGGCAGUGCCCUCCUUGUUCAGGGCACAACCCCACAGCGCCAGGGUGGGACAGCCUUGGUGGGAACAGCUGCUCCCCGUGAUGUCCAGUGGUUGUCAGAGGAGGGUCCUGCUGUCUGGGAAAUCCAGCUGGGAAGUUGGAGCAGCAGGAGACAGGAGUGCCUGCAGUGCAGUACAGUCCCAUCCAGGCACAGGUAUGGAGAGGCUGCUCUGAGGUCCCCCAAAAGGUUCCCUUCUCCAGGAAUUGAGCUCCAUUCCCUCUGCCUCUAUGCACAGGAUGUGCCUUGGUGUCUCCCUGCUGUCCUUGCUUUGUGUCACCAACGCCUUAUGGACUCCUCUGACAAAGCAGGACCAGGGAGGAUGAGCACAGAGGUGAGGAAAGCGCUGCCCUGUAUGCUGCUGGCAGUGGGAUGGUCCCCGGCUGGAUGGGGUUUGUGACACAGAAGGAUCUGCAGCACGGGGGUUUUGGCAGCUCGUGGUGAUGAGGAGGUGCUGAGUAGAUCCAUAAUUGUGUGGCUGGUGCUGAGGAUUGUGAGGUGCUCACAGCAGUGCCACGGUGUCGCCAAAUCUGGGAUCUGUGGGAUGUUGCUGAGUGAUCUGAGCAGCUCCAAAGCUCCUCCACUUCCUUUGCUGAGGUGGGAAAGAGCAGCUCUGUCUGUGUGGAGGUGGAUAAAGGACAUGGGGUGGGGGACUUGAGUUUGCAGUCACUGCUCCCUGGGGAGGGAGGCUGUGGUGAGGAGCUGCUGAGGUUACUGGGAAUUUGGUAACUCCCAUGCCAAGGGAAACACUCAAAUUCACCCAAUGACACCAAGCCAUGUUAAGAGCAUCAUUCUGCCCCCAGAAAUGAUUUUAUUGCACUUUGAGCAAGGGGGAUUGGGCCUUGACCCACUCCAGCACGUGGAGCUGGAGCCAGCCAGGAACCUGCCCUGAGAGGAAUUUCUGCUCAUUUCUUGGCCUGACAGGAAGCAAGAAUAAACUGAUGUUAUUAAAACCCGAGAAGGUGAGUGAGGAUCCUUGUGAUUAGCUCCAAGCUCUCAGAUAUAUCCCUAAGUUUCCCAUGGAGACAAUCCAGCAGCUCUUCUCCCCCUGGGGUAAAAUUGGAGGGACAUCAAACAAUUGUGGCCUUCUCAAAGGAGGGGUUGGGAGUGCUGGUGUCAAUGUGAGCCUGAUCAGCUGUGUUUGGGAUGUGGGCACAGUGAUGGGCAAGCUGUGAAGGCUGCAGGUCUCACUGGGCUGGGAGAGAAUCUGGAUGUGAUUUGGACACUAGGUGGAGACAAGAGGGUUGAGGAUUGACACCGGAGCAGGAAUGCUGUUCCCCAGCAGCAGCCAGGAGAGAUCCAGCCAGGCGAGUCCUCAGCAAACUGGGGGAACAGCCCUGGAAUCUAAGCAGCAGAGAAAUGAAGCAAUCUCGGAGAGCUGGAGUCCUUGGAAGAGGAAGCCUCUAAAAGUAAGGAGAGAUUUUUAUCUGAAAAUCAAGUUGACUGUGGCCUGUGUGGCCGGGAUUGGCCACUUUACCCCCACUGCUGUGUGCAGCGUCCAAGGAAUCAGUGGGAGAAACUAGAGCCCGUCUCAUCAGCCACACUUUCCUGUCCCACACUGGCCCAGGUUGUCACCAAGGGCUUCCAGGAGGUCAGAACUGGCACUUUCUUGCUAUUUACAUAUGAAGACAACGUUGCUUAAGUAUAAAUGGGUUGUUUG